UUGUACCUACGGGACGCAGCAGUGGGGAAUAUUGCACAAUGGGGGAAACCCUGAUGCAGCGACGCCGCGUGAGCGAGGAAGUAUUUCGGUAUGUAAAGCUCUAUCAGCAGGGAAGAAAAUGACGGUACCUGACUAAGAAGCCCCGGCUAACUACGUGCCAGCAGCCGCGGUAAUACGUAGGGGGCAAGCGUUACCCGGAUUUACUGGGUGUAAAGGGAGCGUAGACGGAUAAGCAAGUCUGAUGUGAAAAUCCGGGGCCCAACCCCGGAAUUGCAUUGGAAACUGCAUAUCUAGAGUGUCGGAGG
This 305-nucleotide ribosomal RNA is filed under the name uncultured bacterium. RNAcentral describes it as "bacterial SSU rRNA". It matches the Rfam family "Bacterial small subunit ribosomal RNA", at positions 334 to 655 of the family's 1533-position model. The record is from RNAcentral.